RNAcentral lists this long non-coding RNA (420 nucleotides) under Hordeum vulgare. Its description in RNAcentral is "long non-coding RNA (HVUL_LNC000537)". The record is from RNAcentral. Lineage: Eukaryota; Viridiplantae; Streptophyta; Magnoliopsida; Poales; Poaceae.
ACGACUUCCUCGACACUGGCUACCCCGACUCGACAUCGACCACGACAUUCUUCGCACGACUACCUAGACCACGGCUACCUCGACAUCGACACAAAGGGCUAUCACCUCGGUUGAGAAACUCAUUGGCUUCCUCUACAGUCCACGUGUCCGCGAUGCGACACCGUCCCCGAUGCCCCCGCUCCGACUGCGGAGGGAUGUAAACCCGUCGACUGUUAUUUUCUCGAGUCUGACUGUCUGCGACGCUCCUGUUGUUCGCAAUGCUACUGCUACAACUCCGGCGGGAUGUUAGAGAUAUCUUUGGUGUACAUGUAUUUGAUAGUUUAGGAUUUGUAAUCCAUCUCCUACCUUAUCUCUAGGAGAGGCUUCUUAACCUACAAGUCUUGUACCCAAUAUGUACUCACUCAUGAAGCUCAAUAAUAU